RNAcentral lists this ribosomal RNA (400 nucleotides) under uncultured bacterium. RNAcentral describes it as "partial 16S ribosomal RNA". It matches the Rfam family "Bacterial small subunit ribosomal RNA", at positions 360 to 776 of the family's 1533-position model. The record is from RNAcentral.
AAUAUUGCACAAUGGGCGCAAGCCUGAUGCAGCAACGCCGCGUGCGCGACGAAGGCCUUCGGGUCGUAAAGCCCUUUUCUGGGAGAUGAGUACGGACAGUAUCCCCGGAAGAAGGAGCGGCUAACUACGUUCAAGCAGCCGCGGUAAAACGUAGGAUCCGGGCGUUAUCCGAAUUCACUGGGGGUAAAGCGCAUGUAGGCGGCCGCACAAGUUGGAUGUGAAAUCUCCCGGCUCAACUGGGAGGGGACGUUCAAAACUGUGCGGCUCGAGGGCGGUAGAGGAAGGUAGAAUUCCCGGUGUAGUGGUGAAAUGCGUAGAUAUCGGGAGGAAUACCCGUGGCGAAGGCGACCUUCUGGACCGUUUCUGACGCUCAGAUGCGAAAGCUAGGGGAGCGAACGGG